GCCCCCGCAGGUUCUGCCUCACACAGCAAGGCCGCUGACAGCGCAGCGCCCCACCCGGGCGAAGGCGCGGGGCUCAACGGAGAGGGGACGGGGCGUGGUGAGACUGUAAUGGGCAGCCCCUCUCUUCACCUCCAAGCCGGAGCGUGGCCUCAUCCCUCCCAGGUGACUCUCUUCCCAGAAAUGGUGCUGUCUCAAGAAGCCCCCUCUCUCCAAGCAUCUGCCAGGCCGUUUGAGCUGCCAGGAGUCUUUGUCCUGCCCCACCAGCUCUGUCUCAUCUAGAUGGGGCCUUCUGUCCAGUGCUACUGAACAGAAUGUUCUGCAUGCCUGGCCAGUGCAGAGACCUCCUUGCACCCCUGCUCCAAGGCUGGCUCUGCCACUGACAGAUAGACUGACAUUUGCACUGUUCUGAGCCCCUGGGGGUGCAGUAUGCAGAGCUAGGCCAUCUCUGUCGUCCUACAAGAACCAGGCAGCCCUGAGCAAGGCUUUUAACAUGCAAGGUGUACUCCACUAGUCUUAAGAUAUCUUGAGCCACUGUCUUGCUGCUCCCAACUCCCAAGCCACGCUGACUUUCUUUCCCUCGGGACUGAAACACCUCUGCUGAUCCCUGAUCCAUAUCCCUCCCCAUGAAAGAAAUAUAAUACAUAAAAGAGAGCCCUCUCCACUGAGCACCUCCCUUCCUUUGUAGCACUUACUUCAACUGACCCUUACAGGGAUCGUGUAACUAGACUAUGAAUGUCAUGAAGGCUACGUCGUGUCUCCGACCCCCUACUAAAGGCUCCAACCCCAGGGAGGACCCCUCCCCUGGCCUGGGGAGGAGGAUCAGGAAGAUCUCUUUAGUAAAAGGUCCGGUUGGACUGGGACAUAGGUCUUUCCUGAGCAAGAACUCUAAAGCCCACUUGUUUCCUUACUAGAAGAUGAAGGUUAGAAAUGUUCUUUCUUAUUUAAAACCAUGGCUUGCAAUGCUGCUUGGCCCUCAAGUCAAGCAGAAGCACAGCCCACAUACCACACAACACAGGAUUUCCUCACGGCUCAUCUUCCAAGUGAGAAGUGAAAGGAAUGUCGUGGGAAACCGCAAGAGUCUGUUCUAAUGAUAAAGCAGAGGUCCAGAGAACCGCACUUACCCUCAGCAGUGCACAGUGGUGAUGAACAACACGCCAAGCAGAAGAGAAAGGGGCCAGGACCUUGGACGGGGGCUGAAUUCAGAAUCAGCGCACAGGAGAAGUGAAGUUUGAGACUUCGAGAAUGAGCCGAAGGGAGACCUUUCUCACUGUCAAGGCGGUGAAGCACAGGCCGCAGAGGGGAGGUGUUUGACCUGGGGGCGCUCAUCACAUGCUGUGCCUAGAAUCGAAGUCCGGGCUCACACCAGACCUCCAAGGCCAGAACCCGAAGACUGGAUCUUCUGAGAACAUCAGAGAAAGACUGUCCUUGCCAUCCGCACUGCAACAAAACUUAGGGAUCUUGAAACUUGGGUUCAUAAUCUCACAACUGAGAAGGGUCCAUCCACACUCCUGGAACUGUACACCCAUUGGAACCUUUAAGGUAAAGCCAAGGAAGUCUCUCCCCAGAAGAUGGCAUCCUUGAUGUGAACGGCUUUUGCUAAGAUCGUGGAUCAAGACUUCUACUGUCAUGAGACUCUCUUUUUUUUUUCUUUUUUGGAGAUGGAGUCUUGCUCUGUCACCCAGGCUGGAGUGCGGUGGUGCAGUCUCAGCUCACUGCAACCUCUGCCUCCUGGGUUCAAGCGAUUCUCAUACCUCAGCCUUCCGAGUAGCUGGUAUUACAGGUGCCUGCCACCACACCAAGCUAAUUUUUGUAUUUUUAGUAGAGAUGGGUUUUUGCCAAGUUGGCCAGGCUGGUUUUGAACUUCUAACCUCAGGUGAUCCGCCCACCUCGGCCUCCCAAAGUGCUGGGAUUACAGGCAUGCACCACCACGCCUGGCCAUGAGACUCUUAUCUUUGAGUAUCUGUUCCUUGCUUAUGCCUCUAUGA
Homo sapiens (human) is the source of this 1985-nucleotide long non-coding RNA. Ensembl annotates it as HTT antisense RNA. Its record names the gene HTT-AS. The record is from Ensembl. Lineage: Eukaryota; Metazoa; Chordata; Mammalia; Primates; Hominidae.